GACGAACGCUGGCGGCGUGCUUAACACAUGCAAGUCGAACGGAAAGGCCUCAGCUUGCUGGGGUACUCGAGUGGCGAACGGGUGAGUAACACGUGGGUGAUCUGCCCUGCACUUUGGGAUAAGCUUGGGAAACUGGGUCUAAUACCGAAUAUGACCACUUCUUGGAUGUUGUGGUGGAAAGCUUUUGCGGUGUGGGAUGAGCCUGCGGCCUAUCAGCUUGUUGGUGGGGUAAUGGCCUACCAAGGCGGCGACGGGUAUCCGGCCUGGGAGGGUGUACGGGAACAUUGGGACUGAGAUACGGCCCAGGCUCCUACGGGAGGCAGCAGUGGGGAAUAUUGCACAAUGGGCGCAAGCCUGAUGCAGCGACGCCGCGUGAGUGAAGAAGUAUUUCGGUAUGUAAAGCUCUAUCAGCAGGGACGAUAAUGACGGUACCUGACUAAGAAGCCCCGGCUAACUACGUGCCAGCCGCCGCGGUAA
This 477-nucleotide ribosomal RNA is filed under the name uncultured bacterium. RNAcentral describes it as "partial 16S ribosomal RNA". It matches the Rfam family "Bacterial small subunit ribosomal RNA", at positions 28 to 523 of the family's 1533-position model. The record is from RNAcentral.